UUUGGUUUGUUGUUUUUUGUUUGCUUUUGGUUUUUUGGUUUGGUUUCCCCCCCUCCCAUAAAAUACAAUCUGUACAUACCCCUGAGUUGGAAAUUUUAUGCAUGUUAUGAACUAUUCAAGUAUUUUAUAAACAGUAGCACACAAUAAAUUUUGUGCAUGGGCUGAGGCUCCUAUGAUUGUGUAUUGGUUUUAUUUGGCAUACCUGGAUCUAAUCUGACCUUAAAAAUUGUUUAGAAAGAGUCUUAAAAAUUUGAGGUACUGCAAAAAUAGCCUAAAAGGUCAGAUUUAUUUUGCAGAAAGCUAAUUGAAUUUAAAUGCUAUUUAACUUAUAUAUUAUUCCUGCUUUUGUUUUUCCCUUGAGUUCUCUCUCAUAAAUACAACACUUAAAUAUUUUCAGUCUGCUAAACUGGACAUCCACUGUUGGUUUAUAUGAGCUUGUAUAAGCAGGGUUAGUUGAUUCUAGAAAGGCUGUUAGUAACAUUUUAUGCAUUAAAUUAAACAUUCAAGAUUAGUGAAGUGUGUCAGGGCUGCUUUCUGGGCAGAGAGGAGGACUGUUUGGCAGUCAGUACAGCGAGAUGAUUCAGUCUCGUCUUUUUAAAGUAAGGACAAGCUGCUGAACAGGAUGACAAGCUAAAAGAUAAAAAUAGUGACAUGCUGUUGCUAAUGGAGUUCUAAUGUUUGGUUUUACUUUUUGCAGAUGCAUUCUAAUUGGAAACUCUUCUCAAAGUUUGAGUGCAGAAGAUCCAGUUAAAAAAUGGUGGAGUCUGGAGCUGUCUCUAAUUCUUGUAUUGUUGGGGAGAAGAAAUUACAUCCUCCCUCCUAGAAAACCGCUUCAAGUUGCAAAGAAUCUUCCCAAACAAACUAAUGAAUUAUUUUACUGAAUAUGCACACCUGAAAUAUCUCAGGUCUUCUAUUUUAUUUAGGAUUUGCCAAUUUUAAGUAAGAAUGUCUCCAGAAAACAUCUACUAUAGCUGUAAUAUGUCAUUAGGGCUUAUAUGAAAGUUUGUGUGCUUUGAUUUUCCCCCCUUUUUUUUCCCUUGUUGCCCAGUGCAUGGAUGAAUAUUGCUAAAUACACUGUCUGAGUAGGCUGAAUACAUUCUCUCAAAUACUGUUGUAUCUAUAGUGGUUAAUCUAGUAUUUAAAUUAUGUGAUUGUCAGUUACUGUAAACUACUGGAUUUAUCAAAAUAAAAAUUAGCAGCAUGAGCUUCUCAAGGUUUGCUUUCUUGUGGCUUUUGACUUUCUAAUCCAAAUACCUAAUUGCAUAGCAGAGCUCUCACAGAGGCAGAGGAAAAUGAGAUAAAGAAGCAUCAUAGAAGUUCUAACAGUAAAUAGACAGAUUGAUCACAGAAAUGGAGGACGUUUCAUUAGUACCUAUUUCUUUCCAAAGACAGGUAAGUGCAAGUUACUGGCCUUCAACACAGAAAGGGCUCUAGUAAAUUAUAUGCAAUAAGCAGGCUC
Molecule: long non-coding RNA, 1459 nt
Organism: Dryobates pubescens (Downy woodpecker)
Lineage: Eukaryota; Metazoa; Chordata; Aves; Piciformes; Picidae
Exons: 3
Source: RefSeq, a predicted model, not a curated record